This 497-nucleotide ribosomal RNA is filed under the name uncultured bacterium. RNAcentral describes it as "partial 16S ribosomal RNA". It matches the Rfam family "Bacterial small subunit ribosomal RNA", at positions 28 to 507 of the family's 1533-position model. The record is from RNAcentral.
GACGAACGCUGGCGGCGUGCCUAAUACAUGCAAGUUGAGCGCUGAAGGUUGGUACUUGUACCAACUGGAUGAGCAGCGAACGGGUGAGUAACGCGUGGGGAAUCUGCCUUUGAGCGGGGGACAACAUUUGGAAACGAAUGCUAAUACCGCAUAAAAACUUUAAACACAAGUUUUAAGUUUGAAAGAUGCAAUUGCAUCACUCAAAGAUGAUCCCGCGUUGUAUUAGCUAGUUGGUGAGGUAAAGGCUCACCAAGGCGAUGAUACAUAGCCGACCUGAGAGGGUGGUCGGCCACAUUGGGACUGAGACACGGCCCCAACUCCUUCGGGAGGCAGCCGUAGGGAAUCUUCGGCAAUGGACGAAAGUCUGACCGCGCAACGCCGCGUGAGUGAAGAAGGUUUUCGGAUCGUAAAACUCUGUUGGUAGAGAAGAACGUUGGUGAGAGUGGAAAGCUCAUCAAGUGACGGUAACUACCCAGAAAGGGACGGCUAACUACGUG